Molecule: ribosomal RNA, 454 nt
Filed under: uncultured bacterium
Lineage: Bacteria
Description: partial 16S ribosomal RNA
Rfam family: Bacterial small subunit ribosomal RNA
Source: RNAcentral
GAUGAACGCUGACAGAAUGCUUAACACAUGCAAGUCAACUUGAACUUCGGUUUGGGUGGCGGACGGGUGAGUAACGCGUAAAGAACUUGCCUCACAGCUAGGGACAACAUUUGGAAACGAAUGCUAAUACCUGAUAUUAUGAUUAUAUGGCAUCGUAUAAUUAUGAAAGCUAUAUGCGCUGUGAGAGAGCUUUGCGUCCCAUUAGCUAGCUGGAGAGGUAACAGCUCACCAAGGCGAUGAUGGGUAGCCGGCCUGAGAGGGUGAUCGGCCACAAGGGGACUGAGACACGGCCCUUACUCCUACGGGAGGCAGCAGUGGGGAAUAUUGGACAAUGGACCGAGAGUCUGAUCCAGCAAUUCUGUGUGCACGAUGAAGUUUUUCGGAAUGUAAAGUGCUUUCAGUUGGGAAGAAAAAAAUGACGGUACCAACAGAAGAAGUGACGGCUAAAUACGUG